CUUUCCUUCCAUCUCAAGCCUGAUCAUACCUCUCUUUUCUCUCACGCUCUCCGUCUCUCACGGCCUCACUUUCUCUCCCUCAAACCUCUCAAUUUUCUCACCCAAAACCUGAAACAACUCGUCCAUGUUGCCUCUGGUACCUUAAACAUAUGGUCUGGGCAAGAAUAUCACUGAAACCUGAACCAAAACGCCAUGUUCAAUGCCCUGUACGAACUCUGGCGAACAUCUUGAACCUGUAACUGCCUCUUUCUCUCAGCUUGUGAAGACCCAGCUUGCAAAACCACCACUAUCGAGUUCUUGAGGCCGAGACGAAGCCGUCCCAGUACCCAUAUCCACCCGCCGCCGCGCCUGCCGCCGCCUGCCACCAUCUUCUCCGGCGAGCUUCGCCAGAGAAAGUUCCAGAACUCUAUCAGGAGAAUCGACCUUUGGCUUUUCUCUCAAGCAUAGAUGUCGACGCCUUACCCGACCAGGAUGGACCUUCCAGUACGGACUAUCGUUGAAGUGUUCGUGAGUCCCGAUGGAUGGAGUGUAACAUUGGCAGCUAGUACGAUUCAGCUGAGAGGAGAUGGACCAGGAGUAGGACUGACACGACCAUGACCAACCCACUGACACAACCAUGACCAACCCAAUGACACGACCAUGACCAACCCUCUUCUAGAUGACUCUAUACCUGUUAAUGAUUCCCCAUCCAUUUUAUCCUUGACCAGACUUGAUGUUACCCCCUUUAUGUAUAAAAUGAAGUGAAGACGUAUCACUUGCUACUAUGGGAGGUUCCCUGUAAUAUAGCUCAAUCCUUAUGAUGUAUGAUAUCGAAUAAAUAAGCGAGUGAUGUAAUAUAAGUGAGUGUUUCUCAAACUAUGACGCUAU
Lotus japonicus is the source of this 867-nucleotide long non-coding RNA. RefSeq lists it as uncharacterized. The transcript has 3 exons. NCBI's taxonomy places the organism in Eukaryota, Viridiplantae, Streptophyta, Magnoliopsida, Fabales, Fabaceae. The record is from RefSeq and is a predicted model, not a curated record.